GGGGGCGGCGGCGGGCGGCUCCAGUCACGCCGGGAACCAUGGAAAGGAGCCGGGACGGGAGACGCUUCUGGAGCCUGGACCUCCAGUCUCGUGGUAAGGAAGGGGAGACAGCCCUGCUGCCCCACAGCUGAACAUCCCAGACGGGUUAUAAGCAAGGAUCACUCGAGCAGACAGAAAACAGCCGUCCCCACAUCGCACGCUCUGGCUGACAGCUCAGGACGGGAAGCGAUCUCCUCUUACAAACUACAGGAGCCCGUUUACACAGGGCAAACACUUCCCGUUCCAGAGAGACCAGAGCGAACGGCAGCAGCUCAGAGCCUCCACUUCCCUCCUGGCUCUGCAAACCUUCCAGACCUGCUGCGGGAAGAACUCCGCACCGCUGGGCACCACGGCCUCCCACAGCACCCUGCACAGCCAGAAACUGCUCGGCUGCACGGCUGUGGGUGCUGGAGCCUGAGCACGUGUGUGGGAUGGUCCAGAGCUCUCACAGGACAGCUGAGAUUUGUCCCACUCCAUCAUUUGAUCUGUGUCUAGGAGCUGAGCAGUCCUGGGUGAAGAUGUGGAAGGCUCUGAUGAAACACAGAGUAAGAGUGGAAAUACUGGAGGCAAACCUUCGGUUUUCGGUGCCUAGAACAUGUGCCUCAUCAUUCUCUUCCCCAAGUUAGCGCAGAUCAGACUCUCCCGAGGCACAGUGAGCUUUGCAGUGAGCUUUGGUGGCUGCAGUCUCCUCCUAAUCCAGGCUUGUUUCUGGGAAAAUAGGCAAUUUUAUAUCCCUUUGAUGUGGGUCUUACCUGCUAAUGAUGCUAGGAAGUAAAAACAAAUGGGCAUAGAAAUACACAAUUAUGAAGAAUUAAAAUAGUGAAUUUAAUUCAGCCAAUUCCAACAAAACUGUUAAUUCCUUGAAAAACAAACCUUGCACAGAAAACAGAACAGGAAUGGUUUCAUCUUGACAGCUGGUGAGAACUGGUGAAAAGGUGAAUGGAAUAUUUCUGACUUCUCUGGAAAACACAAGGUUUCCCACAUCUGGAAAAUGCCCUAUUUUUUACUAAAUGGGUCGGUUUGGGAGGCAGUGAUUGUAAAUGCUCUGCAAGGAAAGCACAGGUCUGUGCUCUGAACUGCAGAUGCCAAAUGUCUGGUUUUCAGAAAGCACUGAUGCCUCCCUAAAGGAAAAGCUGGGACUUCUAAAAAUGAUAGAAACAUGGAACGGUCUGGGCUGGAAGGGAAACUCAAAGCUCAACUCACUCUAAGCCCCCACCAAGAGCAGGGACACGUUCCAAUAGACUAGCCCAGAAACGUGCAGAACAGCAACAAGAAAUGUAUUAUUUUUCAGAAUGCUAAGCCUGGCUUGCUCAGUGGUCCUGAUCUGGGCUCUGGGGCGAUGCAGAGCCUGACGAAAGGACGCGAGGCUGCGGCUGUCGCCGGGCGCGUGGCUGGAAAGCCUGGCUCGGCUCCUCAGCACUGAAAUACUCUUUCCAAAGCAAUACCAAAAAAGGUUUGUUUCUAGGUCAGGACCUCAGCACUCAAUUUUAACCAGGGGCUGACAGUCCAAUCUGAACACAGCUGUAAAAUGGAUUCACGGGAGAAGCUUUGGCAUUCCUUUUGUAAUUAGAAAACAGGCACUGAGGCGUGUGCCUUUAAAGGUGAAAGCUAUUUUUGACAUAAAAAUUAGCACGUAGUUCCUCUGUCAUCCCUCGGCUGCUGCGCUGGGAGCUGUGAGUGAACAACCCAAAGAUAAGCAAGAAGUAUAAACAUGCUGAAUUAUACAAAUACGUAGAAGGGGAUCAGGUUUAAUUUGUUUUAUUCUGUGACAGUUAGGAGACAAGGAGAUUUAUUCUUACACUUUUUCUCCUAAAAAGCACUGGUUCAAAGGUCCACUUAAGCACUGAAACCCCAAUGGCAUUAAAAAACUUGAAGAGCUUUUAAUAGCUACGUUUUGAAAUUACUGUUAAAUCUAUUUUUGAGAUGGAUAAACUAAGCUACCAAUGAAGCAGGGCAGGAGUUUUUUUGGAAGGGCCCAGCUGUGAGAAACUGUCAUUCAUUUCUCAACAACUCAGCUCCUGUACAGGGACUCUGAGAUAAAACCUACCACAGUGCUUGAUGCUUUAAAAACCUGAGCGUUCUUGAAAUUCCAAUUUUCUCUCUUUGGUGGGAAUCUAACCCCGACAGCCUUGAAAAUGAACCCCAGGCAGUUUUCAGGAUAUGGCUCAGAGUGGCUGUUUCUAAAAUAAAAGUGAGGGAAGAGCGAGCAGAACUUGGAGGCUUAUCAGCACCCGGAAUGCCCCAGCUAAUCCCCAGCAGCCCCGGCCCCUUUAUGUAACCUGGGAUUGCUGCAGCUCAACAGCUUACUGGGGUCUGGGCGGUUUUCUUUAUACCUCUUGUGGACAAAUGCAAACACAUUAAAUACUUCUUUCUUCUGCCUCUCUAAGGAAAAAACUGUUGUAAGAGGGUGAAAAAAAUGUUUUAUUUGUAUCAAUGGCUAAUAGAAUUAAACUUGUAUGCUGC
RNAcentral lists this long non-coding RNA (2502 nucleotides) under Taeniopygia guttata (zebra finch). RNAcentral's name for it is "lncRNA (ENSTGUG00000025006.1)". Lineage: Eukaryota; Metazoa; Chordata; Aves; Passeriformes; Estrildidae. The record is from RNAcentral.